Molecule: ribosomal RNA, 449 nt
Filed under: Niphargus stygius
Lineage: Eukaryota; Metazoa; Arthropoda; Malacostraca; Amphipoda; Niphargidae
Description: partial large subunit ribosomal RNA
Source: RNAcentral
UGAGUCGAUCCUAAGCCAACUGUGAAAGCAGUGACAUCCCGACAAAGGGGCAUUACAUACGCUGCACUUACACCCCCACGGCAAAGCUCUGAGAUAUAUAUAUAUCUCUCUCUCUCUGACGAUAAAGGUGUCUGGUACGGAAUAUGCGCACGCACGGUGAUCACUACAAAUACGUGUGUGAGUGUGUGCGCUUGUAUGGUUACGCUCAUAAGCGUUGUUGCUCUCUGGUAAAAGGAUAAAGCAUAAGAGAGAGAGAGAGAGACACACACACAGAGUGUGGGUGAGCGUGAGUUUGCUCUCGCAUGAGCCCCCUGCGUCUGGUUCUAUGUCUGGCGAAAGGGAAUGGGGACUUUGUUCCUUGACCGGUCCCGGCACCCUCGAUUGGCUUUGCCAAUUAAUGGUCCAUGCAAAUGGAACCAGGCCACAGCCGCUGGCAGUCGCCCGAGGAA